RNAcentral lists this ribosomal RNA (465 nucleotides) under uncultured bacterium. RNAcentral's name for it is "bacterial SSU rRNA". It matches the Rfam family "Bacterial small subunit ribosomal RNA", at positions 33 to 507 of the family's 1533-position model. The record is from RNAcentral.
CGACACGCUGGCGGCGUGCUUAACACAUGCAAGUCGAACGGUGACGAGGAGCUUGCUCCUCUGAUCAGUGGCGAACGGGUGAGUAACACGUGAGCAACCUGCCCCAGACUCUGGGAUAACAGUUGGAAACAGCUGCUAAUACCGGAUACGAGACGGAGAGGCAUCUCUACCGUCUGGAAAGUUUUUCGGUCUGGGAUGGACUCGCGGCCUAUCAGCUAGUUGGUGAGGUAAUGGCUCACCAAGGCGACGACGGGUAGCCGGCCUGAGAGGGCGACCGGCCACACUGGGACUGAGACACGGCCCAGACUCCUACGGGAGGCAGCAGUGGGGAAUAUUGCACAAUGGGUGAAAGCCUGAUGCAGCGACGCCGCGUGAGGGAUGACGGCCUUCGGGUUGUAAACCUCUUUCAGCAGGGAAGAAGCGAAAGUGACGGUACCUGCAGAAGAAGCACCGGCUAACUACGUG